CGGGGCGUAGCGCAGUCUGGUAGCGCACCACACUGGGGGUGUGGUGGUCGUAGGUUCAAAUCCUAUCGCCCCGACCA
Molecule: transfer RNA, 77 nt
Filed under: Gammaproteobacteria bacterium
Lineage: Bacteria; Pseudomonadati; Pseudomonadota; Gammaproteobacteria
Also listed under: 2 other names
Description: tRNA-Pro
Rfam family: tRNA
About the family: Transfer RNA (tRNA) molecules are approximately 80 nucleotides in length.
Source: RNAcentral